This 775-nucleotide ribosomal RNA is filed under the name Plagiochila sp. NSW858815. RNAcentral's name for it is "eukaryotic LSU rRNA". Lineage: Eukaryota; Viridiplantae; Streptophyta; Jungermanniopsida; Jungermanniales; Plagiochilaceae. The record is from RNAcentral.
GGCUCGGUCGAGAGGCCGGCCCGUGGGCGCUGCGGGGAUAUCCUCGCCGUCGGCCGGAGUGUCCCAUUGUCGUUGGUUUYGGCUGUCUGAUGUUGACGUCCCGCCCUGGUGGGGGAGUUGGCCUCUGGCGGUCGGGGUCGGGCACUCCCCUCCCCCACUGGUCCCAGUCUUUGGGGCCUCUGGGGCCGCUUUUUUUUUUUUCCAUAAGCACCCUGAGGAACAUGAAUGGAGAGACUGAGCCUGGGGUCCCUCGCAGCCUUUGUGCAGGUGAUGGGGCCCGAGUCGAAAAGCAAAGUAACGACUCUCAGCAACGGAUAUCUUGGCUCUUGCAACGAUGAAGAACGCAGCGAAAUGCGAUACCUAGUGUGAAUUGCAGAAUUCCGCGAAUCAUUGAGUCUUUGAACGCAAGUUGCGCCCGAGGCUUGUCCCGAGGGCAUGCCUGCCUGAGCGUCACCGCACUCCCACCUGGACACUCUCCAGUGUGGAAUUGGCCGUCCGGGACCCUGCCCCUCCGAGGGGCUCUGGGUUGUGGUGGGCUGAAAUGCAGCUAUCUGGGCGUGGCCGAAGGAAGGGGCUGCGAGAAGGUGAUUCGCUCUGUUGCGGGGCGGAGUCUAAUUGGAUAGCACCUCUCCCCUUUGGUGGUCCCAGAUGGUGUGUGGCACUUGGUGUGUGUCACUGCUGGGGGAGUGCAAGUAAUGUUGCAUCUCCCCCCGUCCCUCACAGCUUGGACCUCAGAUCAGGCAAGACUACCCGCUGAGUUUAAGCAUAUCACUAG